This 64-nucleotide transfer RNA is filed under the name Hyphasis sp. REN-2018. RNAcentral describes it as "tRNA-Gly". The record is from RNAcentral. Lineage: Eukaryota; Metazoa; Arthropoda; Insecta; Coleoptera; Chrysomelidae.
AUUUAUAUAAUAUAAAAAUUAUAAUUGACUUCCAAUCAAUAAAUCUAAAUAAUUAGUAUAAAUA